GGAGUAUGGACCGUGUCUCAGUUCCAUUGUGGCCGUUCAUCCUCUCAGACCGGCUACCGAUCGUCGGCUUGGUGCGCUUUUAUCACACCAACUACCUAAUCGGACGCAGGCUCCUCGCAAAGCGAUAAAUCUUUAGUACAGAAUCCAUGCGAACUCCGCACAACAUCCGGUAUUAGCGUCCCUUUCGGGACGUUGUCCCCGACUUUGCGGCAGAUUACCUGCGCUUUACUCACCCGUUCGCCACUAGCACCGAAGUGCCCGUUCGACUUGCAUGUGUUAAGCACGCCGCCAGCGUUCGUCCUCGAGCCAGGAUCAAACUACU
Molecule: ribosomal RNA, 322 nt
Filed under: uncultured Veillonellaceae bacterium
Lineage: Bacteria; Bacillati; Bacillota; Negativicutes; Veillonellales; Veillonellaceae
Description: partial 16S ribosomal RNA
Source: RNAcentral